Molecule: ribosomal RNA, 467 nt
Filed under: uncultured bacterium
Lineage: Bacteria
Description: partial 16S ribosomal RNA
Rfam family: Bacterial small subunit ribosomal RNA
Source: RNAcentral
GACGAACGCUGGCGGCGUGCUUAACACAUGCCAGUCGAACGGAAAGGCCCUGCUUUUGUGGGGUGCUCGAGUGGCGAACGGGUGAGUAACACGUGAGUAACCUGCCCUUGACUUUGGGAUAACUUCAGGAAACUGGGGCUAAUACCGGAUAGGAGCUCCUGCUGCAUGGUGGGGGUUGGAAAGUUUCGGCGGUUGGGGAUGGACUCGCGGCUUAUCAGCUUGUUGGCGGGGUAGUGGCUUACCAAGGCUUUGACGGGUAGCCGGCCUGAGAGGGUGACCGGCAACUUGGGAACGGGGUUACGGCCAGACUCCUACGGGAGGCAGCAGUGGGGAAUAUUGCACAAUGGGCGGAAGCCUGAUGCAGCAACGCCGCGUGCGGGAUGACGGCCUUCGGGUUGUAAACCGCUUUCGCCUGUGACGAAGCGUGAGUGACGGUAAUGGGUAAAGAAGCACCGGCUAACUACGUG